RNAcentral lists this ribosomal RNA (465 nucleotides) under Vreelandella stevensii. Its description in RNAcentral is "partial 16S ribosomal RNA". It matches the Rfam family "Bacterial small subunit ribosomal RNA", at positions 338 to 795 of the family's 1533-position model. The record is from RNAcentral. Lineage: Bacteria; Pseudomonadati; Pseudomonadota; Gammaproteobacteria; Oceanospirillales; Halomonadaceae.
CCUACGGGCGGCAGCAGUGGGGAAUAUUGGACAAUGGGGGCAACCCUGAUCCAGCCAUGCCGCGUGUGUGAAGAAGGCCCUCGGGUUGUAAAGCACUUUCAGUGAGGAAGAACGCCUGGUGGUUAAUACCCAUCAGGAAAGACAUCACUCACAGAAGAAGCACCGGCUAACUCCGUGCCAGCAGCCGCUGUAAUACGGAGGGUGCGAGCGUUAAUCGGAAUUACUGGGCGUAAAGCGCGCGUAGGUGGCUUGAUAAGCCGGUUGUGAAAGCCCCGGGCUCAACCUGGGAACGGCAUCCGGAACUGUCAAGCUAGAGUGCAGGAGAGGAAGGUAGAAUUCCCGGUGUAGCGGUGAAAUGCGUAGAGAUCGGGAGGAAUACCAGUGGCGAAGGCGGCCUUCUGGACUGACACUGACACUGAGGUGCGAAAGCGUGGGUAGCAAACAGGAUUAGAUACCCGGGUAGUC